AGAGCUGGCCAGACAAUCGCCGCCUGUUUACAGGGGGAGGAAAGUCCGGGCUCCAUAGGGCAGAGUGCCAGGUAACGCCUGGGAGGCGUGAGCCUACGGAAAGUGCAGCAGAGAGCAAACCGCCUAAGCGCGUAAGCGCCGGUAAGGGUGAAAAGGUGCG
Molecule: RNase P RNA, 160 nt
Filed under: Idiomarina loihiensis
Lineage: Bacteria; Pseudomonadati; Pseudomonadota; Gammaproteobacteria; Alteromonadales; Idiomarinaceae
Description: partial RNase P RNA component class A
Rfam family: Bacterial RNase P class A
About the family: Ribonuclease P (RNase P) is a ubiquitous endoribonuclease, found in archaea, bacteria and eukarya as well as chloroplasts and mitochondria.
Source: RNAcentral